AACGAACGCUGGCGGCAUGCCUAACACAUGCAAGUCGAACGAGACCUUCGGGUCUAGUGUCGCACGGGUUCGUAACGCGUGGUGACCUGCCCUUAGGUUCGGUAUAACUCCCCGAAAGGGGUGCUAAUACCGGUUAAUGUCUUCUGACCAAAGAUUUAUCGCCUUUGGAUGGUCCCGCGUUGGAUUAGCUAGUUGGUAGGGUAAAAGCCUACCAAGGCGACGAUCCAUAGAUGGUCUGAGAGGAUGAUCAGCCACACUGGGACUGAGACACGGCCCAGACUACGACGGGAGGCAGCAGUGGGGAAUAUUGGAAAAGGGGCGAAAGGCUGAAACAGCAAUGCCGCGAGAGUGAUGAAGGCGUUAGGGUAGUAAAGCUAUAUUACACGGGAAGAUAAUGACAGUAACGGGAGAAUAAGCAACGGCUAACUCCGUG
This 433-nucleotide ribosomal RNA is filed under the name uncultured bacterium. RNAcentral's name for it is "partial 16S ribosomal RNA". It matches the Rfam family "Bacterial small subunit ribosomal RNA", at positions 29 to 507 of the family's 1533-position model. The record is from RNAcentral.